Molecule: small nucleolar RNA, 145 nt
Organism: Apodemus sylvaticus (European woodmouse)
Lineage: Eukaryota; Metazoa; Chordata; Mammalia; Rodentia; Muridae
Product: small nucleolar RNA SNORA48
Exons: 1
Source: RefSeq, a predicted model, not a curated record
UCCUCUUGCCAAUGGACAAAGAAACACCGUGUUUGUGGUGGUGUUCUUAUUGUCAGUCAGGGGCAGAGCAGGAGGCAGUACUUUGUUCAUCCUUGCUUGAUGCCAGGCUUGGCGGCCAAAGCUGUUUUAUACCUAGGACUCAUAA